Anolis carolinensis (green anole) is the source of this 66-nucleotide small nucleolar RNA. The record is from Ensembl. NCBI's taxonomy places the organism in Eukaryota, Metazoa, Chordata, Lepidosauria, Squamata, Anolidae.
GUAAUGUGAUGAUAAGCCAUUAGAACUGACUUAAACAAUGGAGGUUUUAAUUAGCUCUACCUGAUU